AGUCAGUUUAUCAUGCUGGUGUGAGAAUGGCUCACCAAGGCUACGAUGGGUAGGGGUUCUUAGUGGAAGGUCCCCCACACUGGCACUGAGAUACGGGCCAGACUCCUACGGGAGGCAGCAGUAGGGAAUAUUGGUCAAUGGGCGCAAGCCUGAACCAGCCAUGCCGCGUGCAGGAUGAAGGCUCUCUGAGUUGUAAACUGCUUUUGUACAGGAGCAAAAAAAUCCCUGCGGGGGUUCUUGAGAGUACUGUAAGAAUAAGCACCGGCUAAUUCCGUGCCAGCAGCCGCGGUAAUACGGGAGGUGCAAGCGUUAUCCGGUUUUAUUGGGUUUAAAGGGUGCGUAGGCGGCUUAUUAAGUCAGUUGUGAAAUCCUAGUGCUUAACGCUAGAACUGCAAUUGAUACUAUU
RNAcentral lists this ribosomal RNA (406 nucleotides) under Cardinium endosymbiont of Bemisia tabaci. RNAcentral's name for it is "bacterial SSU rRNA". It matches the Rfam family "Bacterial small subunit ribosomal RNA", at positions 234 to 637 of the family's 1533-position model. The record is from RNAcentral. Lineage: Bacteria; Pseudomonadati; Bacteroidota; Cytophagia; Cytophagales; Amoebophilaceae.